Molecule: non-coding RNA, 29 nt
Filed under: Mus musculus (house mouse)
Lineage: Eukaryota; Metazoa; Chordata; Mammalia; Rodentia; Muridae
Source: RNAcentral
UCCUUAGCUUUCUACCUUUAGCCUCCAAG